CUCUUCUGGGGACGUCGUCUUCCUAAACGUUGGUCAUCGUUUGUCGGGCACCUCAACUAUCUAGCUUUGUUGUCUGUAGAGAGACAAGCGGACUAGCAGAGGUCGGAUAGGCCAUGAUGUCAGGUCGUCGCGUCUUGGUCGUAGUUGCGGCCGGCGGCCGAGCUGUAUGCCGGUUCCGCGUCAGCUGCGUGGGGAAAGGAGUGGGGAUAGGGCGGAUCGGGCACAAGGAGAGGCAGGGGCCGACGUGGGGAGAGGGGAAGGCGCUAGCUCCGGGCAUCCGUGGGGAGACAGGCGGCCUAGAGUCCGCUGCAGUCGCUGCUGGUUCCUGUCGCCGUCGCGGUGUUCUUGUGAAGGAGUCAUUAUGUAACAAGUCAUCAAGGACUCCACGUGGUACCUUUAAUAGUAGGAGUAGAGUGAACAACACGAAGAACAUGACCCUCGUGAGAAACAAUAGGGUUCUAGGUUUUUGUUUCCACUUCCUUUCCUACGUGCAAGUCGGCCUUUACCUUGCUGUAGAUGCUCGAUAAGUUUCUUUCUCCACAGUUGUGUGUUGUGUUCCUUCCUAACAACCUAGUAUUAGUUCCUGUUCCAAAUGCUACAUUGAGGUAUGCACCUCCUUGUAGGUCCACCACUACGGUAAGAUUUGUUACGACCACCGCUAAGCUGUCUCCCUAAAAAGCCGGGCGUCGUACCGUGUGCUCAGAAGCUGUAGUAGCUCCUAAAGACGUAGCCGUUUAACCUUCUGACUACUACCCCUCCUCUCCGGCAUUUUCGAGGGUUCACACUUGGGUACGCGAGCAGACGUUAAAAGACUUCUACUGCUGCUGCUUGCCUUGGCAAAGGAUUAGCACUAGUACUGUCGAGGUCCCGGGGGUCGACACACCAAGACCAAAGUACAAACUGGAGGACGAAUAAGUAUGAUCAUCGUCACACACUGGGCUGGUACCUGAUAAAGACACAGGACUUACAAAAGGCUCUAAAUAGAGAAGUAAACUCUUCUAUGCUAAAGAAUAUGAAUAAAUACCUUGAAAGAGUCCCGUCUGUUCCUUGGCCCGGUUGAAAAGUAUAACUAAGGAACGUACUGUCACUCUCCGAAAUGAGGUAAGUUUCUUUCGAAAACGAGUCAGUUCAAAAGGAGACCAGAACGGAGUCGACAGUUUCUUAAAGUGUGACAACCCGAAUUCCCCCGUGCAUACUUAAAAGUACACCGAGUACCACAGGUACGGAGGUACUUAAGUAGAACUACUUGUGUCAUCAUUAAUCAUUCUCCACUAGUAAGUAAAACGAC
Molecule: ribosomal RNA, 1288 nt
Filed under: Triticum aestivum (bread wheat)
Lineage: Eukaryota; Viridiplantae; Streptophyta; Magnoliopsida; Poales; Poaceae
Description: partial small subunit ribosomal RNA
Source: RNAcentral